GAACGCUGGCGGCGUGCCUAAUACAUGCAAGUAGAAACGCUGAAGCUUGGUGCUUGCACCGAGCGGAUGAGUUGCGAACCGGGUGAGUAACGCGUAGGUAACCUGCCUGGUAGCGGGGGAUAACUAUUGGAAACGAUAGCUAAUACCGCAUAAUAGCAGUUGUUGCAUGACAACUGUUUAAAAGGUGCAAUUGCAUCACUACCAGAUGGACCUGCGUUGUAUUAGCUAGUUGGUGGGGUAACGGCUCACCAAGGCGACGAUACAUAGCCGACCUGAGAGGGUGAUCGGCCACACUGGGACUGAGACACGGCCCAGACUCCUACGGGAGGCAGCAGUAGGGAAUCUUCGGCAAUGGACGGAAGUCUGACCGAGCAACGCCGCGUGAGUGAAGAAGGCUUUCGGAUCGUAAAGCUCUGUUGUAAGAGAAGAACGAGUGUGAGAGUGUUCCCUUCCA
RNAcentral lists this ribosomal RNA (454 nucleotides) under Streptococcus sp. oral taxon E98. RNAcentral's name for it is "bacterial SSU rRNA". It matches the Rfam family "Bacterial small subunit ribosomal RNA", at positions 31 to 472 of the family's 1533-position model. The record is from RNAcentral. Lineage: Bacteria; Bacillati; Bacillota; Bacilli; Lactobacillales; Streptococcaceae.